CAAAGUUCUCAGGGCGGGGUGAAAGUCCCCACCGGCGGUGAUGAUGGCUGAAUAAAAUUCAGUCAUCUAAGCCCGCGAGCGCUCAAGACUGUUGUUUUUUAUUUCUUGAGGUCAGCAGAUUCGGUGAGAAGCCGAAGCCGACGGUGAUAGUCCGGAUGAAAGAGAACGGUA
This 171-nucleotide non-coding RNA is filed under the name Halomonas campaniensis. Its description in RNAcentral is "FMN sequence". It matches the Rfam family "FMN riboswitch aptamer (RFN element)". Rfam says of the family: The RFN element is a highly conserved domain that is found frequently in the 5'-untranslated regions of prokaryotic mRNAs that encode for flavin mononucleotide (FMN) biosynthesis and transport proteins. This element is a metabolite-dependent riboswitch that directly binds FMN in the absence of proteins. In Bacillus subtilis, the riboswitch most likely controls gene expression by causing premature transcription termination within the 5' untranslated region of the ribDEAHT operon and precluding access to the ribosome-binding site of ypaA mRNA. The record is from RNAcentral. Lineage: Bacteria; Pseudomonadati; Pseudomonadota; Gammaproteobacteria; Oceanospirillales; Halomonadaceae.